UUGAGUUUGAAUCUGGCUCAGGACGAACGCUGGCGGCGUGCUUAACACAUGCAAGUCGAACGGUGAAGCUUGGAGCUUGCUUCGAGUGGAUCAGUGGCGAACGGGUGAGUAACACGUGAGCAACCUGCCCCAGACUCUGGAAUAAGCGCUGGAAACGGCGUCUAAUACUGGAUAUGUGACGGACCUGCAUGGGUACCGUCUGGAAAGUUUUUCGGUUUGGGAUGGGCUCGCGGCCUAUCAGCUUGUUGGUGAGGUAAUGGCUCACCAAGGCGACGACGGGUAGCCGGCCUGAGAGGGCGACCGGCCACACUGGGACUGAGACACGGCCCAGACUCCUACGGGAGGCAGCAGUGGGGAAUAUUGCACAAUGGGCGAAAGCCUGAUGCAGCGACGCCGCGUGAGGGAUGACGGCCUUCGGGUUGUAAACCUCUUUCAGCAGGGAAGAAGCGAAAGUGACGGUACCUGCAGAAGAAGCACCGGCUAACUACGUGCCAGCAGCCGCGGUAAUACGUAGGGUGCGAGCGUUGUCCGGAAUUAUUGGGCGUAAAGAGCUUGUAGGCGGUUUGUCGCGUCUGCUGUGAAAAUCCGGGGCUCAACCCCGGACUUGCAGUGGGUACGGGCAGACUAGAGUGUGGUAGGGGAGACUGGAAUUCCUGGUGUAGCGGUGAAAUGCGCAGAUAUCAGGAGGAACACCGAUGGCGAAGGCAGGUCUCUGGGCCACUACUGACGCUGAGAAGCGAAAGCAUGGGGAGCGAACAGGAUUAGAUACCCUGGUAGUCCAUGCCGUAAACGUUGGGCGCUAGGUGUGGGACUCAUUCCACGAGU
RNAcentral lists this ribosomal RNA (825 nucleotides) under Janibacter sp. KSUM_51. RNAcentral's name for it is "bacterial SSU rRNA". It matches the Rfam family "Bacterial small subunit ribosomal RNA", at positions 1 to 839 of the family's 1533-position model. The record is from RNAcentral. Lineage: Bacteria; Bacillati; Actinomycetota; Actinomycetes; Micrococcales; Intrasporangiaceae.